GACGAACGCUGGCGGCGCGCCUAACACAUGCAAGUCGAACGAGCGAGAGAGAGCUUGCUUUCUCGAGCGAGUGGCGAACGGGUGAGUAACGCGUGAGGAACCUGCCUCAAAGAGGGGGACAACAGUUGGAAACGACUGCUAAUACCGCAUAAGCCCACGACCCGGCAUCGGGUAGAGGGAAAAGGAGCAAUCCGCUUUGAGAUGGCCUCGCGUCCGAUUAGCUAGUUGGUGAGGUAAAGGCCCACCAAGGCGACGAUCGGUAGCCGGACUGAGAGGUUGAACGGCCACAUUGGGACUGAGACACGGCCCAGACUCCUACGGGAGGCAGCAGUGGGGAAUAUUGCACAAUGGGGGAAACCCUGAUGCAGCGACGCCGCGUGGAGGAAGAAGGUCUUCGGGAUUGUAAACUCCUGUUGUUGAGGAAGAUAAAUGACGGUACUCAACAAGGAAGUGACGGCUAACUACGUG
RNAcentral lists this ribosomal RNA (468 nucleotides) under uncultured bacterium. Its description in RNAcentral is "bacterial SSU rRNA". It matches the Rfam family "Bacterial small subunit ribosomal RNA", at positions 28 to 507 of the family's 1533-position model. The record is from RNAcentral.